CAAACCAAUAGUCCAUCAAACCACAUUACUCAUGUUGGAUUUUGCCAUAGUUUAGAAGAUUAGCAGGUACAUUUUUGAUUUCUUCCUAUAUAAGUGUUUUUUUUUUUUUUUUGUCUUUCUUUCUUUUGAGAUGUGUACAAAGGCAUGCUUAUUUGAUUGUAUCUACAAAUGCUGUUUUGUACAGGCUGACAAGCUAAAGAAGUCACUGGAGGAUGAAAUUCAUUUUCUUAAGGGAAGGGUUUCAGAACUUGAAAGUGAUCUUGUGUCAAAGUGCAUAGAAGUUACAUCUACAGUUUCAGGGAAGAAAGAAGCUCUAUUUUCUGUAUUUGCUGAAAUUGACCGUUUGAAGGAAGAAAAUUCUGUAAAAACGUGAGCAUUAUUGCAUUAUAUGGAGGUUGUCUACUAUGUUGGAGUGUAUUUGUUUCUUGCACAUGAGGGCACGCCUUAGUUGUAAUUCUUAUAAUAGGUUGAGCAAAGUGAAGUAUUAUUUAUUUAGAAAUGUGAAUGUAGGAUGCAUUGUAUGAUUUGAUUGCUAUUUGUAAUAAAUGCAUCAUUUUAUCUCCUGAU
Molecule: long non-coding RNA, 567 nt
Organism: Magnolia sinica
Lineage: Eukaryota; Viridiplantae; Streptophyta; Magnoliopsida; Magnoliales; Magnoliaceae
Exons: 2
Source: RefSeq, a predicted model, not a curated record